RNAcentral lists this ribosomal RNA (253 nucleotides) under uncultured bacterium. RNAcentral describes it as "partial 16S ribosomal RNA". It matches the Rfam family "Bacterial small subunit ribosomal RNA", at positions 524 to 776 of the family's 1533-position model. The record is from RNAcentral.
UACGUAGGUGGCAAGCGUUGUCCGGAAUUAUUGGGCGUAAAGCGCGCGCAGGUGGUUCCUUAAGUCUGAUGUGAAAGCCCACGGCUCAACCGUGGAGGGUCAUUGGAAACUGGGAAACUUGAGUGCAGAAGAGGAAAGUGGAAUUCCAAGUGUAGCGGUGAAAUGCGUAGAGAUUUGGAGGAACACCAGUGGCGAAGGCGACUUUCUGGUCUGUAACUGACACUGAGGCGCGAAAGCGUGGGGAGCAAACAGG